CUUGCUGUUGAUCAGAGGUGGCACCUUGUGGGUCCAGUUCCUGAGUGGAUAAAGAAAGAGUUCAGUGCAGGCGAAUAUCCUGAGUGGUUCUUUGGGGAGGAGAAGGGUUUGGCAUUGCCUCAGUCCCAGCCUGGGGGUGAGACACUCCACGGGGACUGGGGCAGGCAGGAGCCACUCAACCAGACUCCCAAGACACCCCAUCCUCUCCAUCCACGGCUCGGCCCAGGGCCAAGCUUUGAGAGAUCAGGGGACAGGACUGUUGUCAGUGGUGGGGCUGGGGGUUAGGCGAGGAUGUUGGAACAGGGCCUCUGGCUGAGAGGGGCAAGCGGCCUCUCCUCUGUGGGCCCCUGAGCAACUCACUGCCCCUAUUUGGCCUCUGUCUCCCCAUCAAGGAAAUGGAGGUAUGGUGAUUGUGUGGUGCAGGCCUCACAGGGGGGUGAAGAGGUAAGAGGGAGGAAAGGAAUGUGGGAGCUUUCUGCCUGCUCCACCUGGAGGGGCGAGGGCGAGAACAAUGAUGACAGUCAUGCGACAGUGAGUCCUCAGGAGAACCUGUGAGGUAGCUGGAGUUCUCACACUUUCCAGAUGAGGAAACAGGCUCGGGGAGGCCAGGCCACAAGUCCAAGCUCAUACCCAGAGUUAGAGUUGGAGCUGGGCUUGUUCUGGAAUCACAAGACCUUGCAGGGUGGAGUAGCAUUGGUACCAGUUUACUCGAGUCAGAUGUCCAGGGUCGGAGGCCAGUGGUGCUGGAGAGAAAUGGGGUGAGGGGACUAUGGCCUCACUGGCACUGUCCUCGACCCUGGCAGGAGGGGCCUUCCACGUUUGCCCCCUGGAGAGCAACCCUCAGAGAGUGCAGGAGAAGCAGCAGCAGCAGCAGCAGCAGGGGAAUGAGAUCAACCUUGAGAAGAGGACUGAGGAAUAAUACCGAGUCAUGAGGGAGAUCCUGCUGCUCCAGGUCACCGCAAAGAAUUAUACCAAGACCCCGAGGAGUGAUUUGGGGCCUGGUUCCAGGACAUGGAGUUGCUCAACGAGAAUGAUAGGUGAGGCCGUACAGGAGUUGGGUGAGGGCAGGGGUGGAUUCUCCCUGUUGGCCAGUGCAGAGAGCCUGUCUCCGUGGCCCCCUGGUCAGCCCCAGAACUUAUUGCAUGACCACCCCAGGGCACCCAGACUCCAGCUGCUGAGGUUUCUUUUGACCAAAUUUUAGGAACUUUUAGUUUUCUAGUUCAAUCUCUGGAAUUGCAUCAGCUCUAAGUGGGGAAACCAAUGUAAAAAGAUCAAAACGUGCAGGUGGAGAGGACAAGGCCCGAGGAAGAUCAUUUGAAAAUGGACUAAAGGCAGGCAGGACUUUCCCUCCUGAGACCCUUCUAGGGGCUCCGUGUUCACCCCUGACCUAGAUUUGAAUCCUGCUGGGAUCCUUGUACAGGACUCUGAAUUCCUUUUCCUGCUUGAUUUGUAUCCAGGAGGAACGAUUUCUGAUGCAGCUUUUAAGGCUACUGCUGGGCCUCGUUACAUAAAC
Long non-coding RNA from Diceros bicornis minor, 1513 nucleotides. RefSeq lists it as uncharacterized. The transcript has 3 exons. NCBI's taxonomy places the organism in Eukaryota, Metazoa, Chordata, Mammalia, Perissodactyla, Rhinocerotidae. The record is from RefSeq and is a predicted model, not a curated record.